This 290-nucleotide small RNA is filed under the name Arabidopsis thaliana (thale cress). Its description in RNAcentral is "ATSL099410". Lineage: Eukaryota; Viridiplantae; Streptophyta; Magnoliopsida; Brassicales; Brassicaceae. The record is from RNAcentral.
AGUAUAUAAUUCACCUAGUACUACAUUAUAUAUUACAAGUAAAAUGAAAAAUAAAUUAAGGUAACACGGUAAAUGCCACAACACUGCUAAUUGCCGCUGCAAUAGCUCCGACCACAAAUCUUGGUAAGUUUCCACCUCCAAAAAGCGCAUCAAUAGGACCAACUCCAAACGAUACAAUCAUUUGUGGUAUCACUAUUGCCAUGUUUAAAACUCCUAGAGACAGUCCUGUAGAGAUGACAACGGAAAAAAAACUCAUCCUUAUUAAUUUGAUAUUUAAAUAUAUAUGUUAU